Molecule: ribosomal RNA, 258 nt
Filed under: uncultured bacterium
Lineage: Bacteria
Description: partial 16S ribosomal RNA
Rfam family: Bacterial small subunit ribosomal RNA
Source: RNAcentral
UGGCGGACGGGUGAGUAACGCGUGGGUAACCUGCCUCAUACAGGGGGAUAACAGUUAGAAAUGACUGCUAAUACCGCAUAAGCGCACGAGAUCGCAUGAUAAAGUGUGAAAAACUCCGGUGGUACGAGAUGGACCCGCGUCUGAUUAGCUGGUUGGUGGGGUAACGGCCCACCAAGGCGACGAUCAGUAGCCGACCUGAGAGGGUAACCGGCCACAUUGGGACUGAGACACGGCCCAAACUCCUACGGGAGGCAGCAG